GCUUUUGUAGCUCUGUUGGUUAGAACACUCGUUUAGUAAGUGAGAAGCCUUGAGUUCGACUCGUAUUAAGAGCA
This 74-nucleotide transfer RNA is filed under the name Ipomoea nil (Japanese morning glory). It matches the Rfam family "tRNA". From Rfam's summary of the family: Transfer RNA (tRNA) molecules are approximately 80 nucleotides in length. Lineage: Eukaryota; Viridiplantae; Streptophyta; Magnoliopsida; Solanales; Convolvulaceae. The record is from Rfam by way of RNAcentral.